AAUAACUCUAAUUUGGAUUCUCUCCCAAAGCCUCAAGUUAUUUAUCGCUGUAAAAAAUGUCGGAGGCUUGUUGCAUCAGCAGAGAACAUAGUUUCCCAUGAACGAGGAAAAGGAGAACAAUGCUUUAAAUGGAAAAAGAGAAGCGGUGACCCCUUUGAAAGGGAACCAGCUGAAUGCUCCUCCAUUUUUGUAGAGCCCAUGAAAUGGAUGCAAACA
Molecule: unclassified non-coding RNA, 216 nt
Filed under: Hevea brasiliensis (rubber tree)
Lineage: Eukaryota; Viridiplantae; Streptophyta; Magnoliopsida; Malpighiales; Euphorbiaceae
Source: RNAcentral